AACGAACGCUGGCGGCAUGCCUAACACAUGCAAGUCGAACGAGACCUUCGGGUCUAGUGGCGCACGGGUGCGUAACGCGUGGGAACCUGCCCUUAGGUUCGGAAUAACUCCCCGAAAGGGGUGCUAAUACCGGAUAAUGUCUUCGGACCAAAGAUUUAUCGCCUUUGGAUGGGCCCGCGUUGGAUUAGCUAGUUGGUAGGGUAAAAGCCUACCAAGGCGACGAUCCAUAGCUGGUCUGAGAGGAUGAUCAGCAACACUGGGACUGAGACACGGCCCAGACUCCUACGGGAGGCAGCAGUGGGGUAUAUUGGACAAUGGGCGAAAGCCUGAUCCAGCAAUGCCGCGUGAGUGAUGAAGGCCUUAGGGUUGUAAAGCUCUUUUACCCGGGAUGAUAAUGACAGUACCGGGAGAAUAAGCUCCGGCUAACUCCGUG
Molecule: ribosomal RNA, 433 nt
Filed under: uncultured bacterium
Lineage: Bacteria
Description: partial 16S ribosomal RNA
Rfam family: Bacterial small subunit ribosomal RNA
Source: RNAcentral